Molecule: ribosomal RNA, 253 nt
Filed under: uncultured bacterium
Lineage: Bacteria
Description: partial 16S ribosomal RNA
Rfam family: Bacterial small subunit ribosomal RNA
Source: RNAcentral
UACGUGUGGUGCAAGCGUUAUCCGGAUUUACUGGGUGUAAAGGGAGCGCAGGCGGCACGGCAAGCCUGAUGUGAAAGCCCGCGGCCCAACCGCGGGACUGCAUUGGGAACUACCGGGCUGGAGUGCCGGAGAGGUAGGCGGAAUUCCUAGUGUAGCGGUGAAAUGCGUAGAUAUUAGGAGGAACACCAGUGGCGAAGGCGGCCUACUGGACGGUGACUGACGCUGAGGCUCGAAAGCGUGGGGAGCAAACAGG